UACGAAGGACCCAAGCGUUAUCCGGAUUUAUUGGGUUUAAAGGGUGCGUAGGCGGGUUAUUAAGUCAGUGGUGAAAGCCUACAGCUUAACUGUAGAAUUGCCAUUGAUACUGAUGAUCUUGAGUAUGAUUGAGGUGGGCGGAAUGUGUCAUGUAGCGGUGAAAUGCUUAGAUAUGACACAGAACACCGAUUGCGAAGGCAGCUCACUAAGUCAUAACUGACGCUGAUGCACGAAAGCGUGGGGAGCAAAC
This 250-nucleotide ribosomal RNA is filed under the name uncultured bacterium. RNAcentral's name for it is "partial 16S ribosomal RNA". It matches the Rfam family "Bacterial small subunit ribosomal RNA", at positions 524 to 773 of the family's 1533-position model. The record is from RNAcentral.